AUGCCUGCAGCAGUUGCUCAUGAAUUAUUGGAUUCCAGAGCAAAGUUUCUCUCCUUUACCUGCGUUGGUAGCCAUGGAAAUGGUUUCAUAAAUGAUGCCAACUUCCUACAGUCCAGGGAGACACAACCCAGGUGUUCCUGUCGCAUUAGCACUGCGGAACGGUCUCAAAGUGGAAGACGGAGUCUACGGCAAAGUAUGUCUACUGUCCCCUUCUAG
Molecule: long non-coding RNA, 216 nt
Filed under: Fukomys damarensis (Damara mole-rat)
Lineage: Eukaryota; Metazoa; Chordata; Mammalia; Rodentia; Bathyergidae
Description: lncRNA (ENSFDAG00000029130.1)
Source: RNAcentral